AGAGGUUGCUUUUGGCUCAGAACGAACGCUGGCGGCGUGGAUAAGACAUGCAAGUCGAACGAGAGAAUUGCUAGCUUGCUAAUAAUUCUCUAGUGGCGCACGGGUGAGUAACACGUGAGUAACCUGCCCCCAAGAGUGGGAUAGCCCCGGGAAACUGGGAUUAAUACCGCAUAAAAUCGCAAGAUUAAAGCAGCAAUGCGCUUGGGGAUGGGCUCGCGUCCUAUUAGUUAGUUGGUGAGGUAACGGCUCACCAAGGCGAUGACGGGUAGCCGGUCUGAGAGGAUGUCCGGCCACACUGGAACUGAGACACGGCCCAAACUCCUACGGGAGGCAGCAGUGGGGAAUAUUGCACAAUGGGGGAAACCCUGAUGCAGCGACGCCGCGUGAGUGAUGAAGUAUUUCGGUAUGUAAAGCUCUAUCAGCAGGGAAGAAAAUGACGGUACCUGACUAAGAAGCACCGGCUAAAUACGUGCCAGCAGCCGCGGUAAUACGUAUGGUGCAAGCGUUAUCCGGAUUUACUGGGUGUAAAGGGAGCGUAGACGGAGAGGCAAGUCUGAUGUGAAAACCCGGGGCUCAACCCCGGGACUGCAUUGGAAACUGUUUUUCUAGAGUGUCGGAGAGGCAAGUGGAAUUCCUAGUGUAGCGGUGAAAUGCGUAGAUAUUAGGAGGAACACCAGUGGCGAAGGCGGCUUGCUGGACGAUGACUGACGUUGAGGCUCGAAAGCGUGGGGAGCAAACAGGAUUAGAUACCCUGGUAGUCCACGCCGUAAACGAUGAAUAAUAGGUGUCGGGUGGCAAAGCCAUUCGGUGCCGCAGCAAACGCAAUAAGUA
This 831-nucleotide ribosomal RNA is filed under the name uncultured bacterium. Its description in RNAcentral is "bacterial SSU rRNA". It matches the Rfam family "Bacterial small subunit ribosomal RNA", at positions 8 to 866 of the family's 1533-position model. The record is from RNAcentral.